Molecule: ribosomal RNA, 253 nt
Filed under: uncultured bacterium
Lineage: Bacteria
Description: partial 16S ribosomal RNA
Rfam family: Bacterial small subunit ribosomal RNA
Source: RNAcentral
UACGUAGGGGGCAAGCGUUGUCCGGAUUUAUUGGGCGUAAAGAGCGUGUAGGCGGUUAGGUAGGUCCGUUGUGAAAACUCGAGGCUCAACCUCGAGACGCCGAUGGAAACCAUCUAACUAGAGUCCGGAAGAGGAGAAUGGAAUUCCUGGUGUAGCGGUGAAAUGCGCAGAUAUCAGGAAGAACACCCGUGGCUAAGGCGGUUCUCUGGGCCUGUACUGACGCUGAGGAGCGAAAGCGUGGGGAGCGAACAGG